GUGCUCACUUCGGCAGCACAUAAAUUAAAAUUGGAACGAUACAGAGAUUAGCAUGGCCCCUGCACAAGGAUGCCACGCAAAUUCGUGAAGCACUCCAUAUUUAA
RNAcentral lists this small nuclear RNA (104 nucleotides) under Echinops telfairi (small Madagascar hedgehog). The record is from RNAcentral. Lineage: Eukaryota; Metazoa; Chordata; Mammalia; Afrosoricida; Tenrecidae.